UGGGGAAUUUUGGACAAUGGGCGAAAGCCUGAUCCAGCAAUGCCGCGUGUGUGAAGAAGGCCUUCGGGUUGUAAAGCACUUUUGUCCGGAAAGAAAUCCUUGGCUCUAAUACAGUCGGGGGAUGACGGUACCGGAAGAAUAAGCACCGGCUAACUACGUGCCAGCAGCCGCGGUAAUACGUAGGGUGCAAGCGUUAAUCGGAAUUACUGGGCGUAAAGCGUGCGCAGGCGGUUUGCUAAGACCGAUGUGAAAUCCCCGGGCUCAACCUGGGAACUGCAUUGGUGACUGGCAGGCUAGAGUAUGGCAGAGGGGGGUAGAAUUCCACGUGUAGCAGUGAAAUGCGUAGAGAUGUGGAGGAAUACCGAUGGCGAAGGCAGCCCCCUGGGCCAAUACUGACGCUCAUGCACGAAAGCGUGGGGAGCAAACAGGAUUAGAUACCCUGGUAGUCCACGCCCUAAAACGAUGUCAACUAGUUGUUGGGGAUUCAUUUCCUUAGUAACGUAGCUAACGCGUGAAGUUGACCGCCUGGGGGAGUACGGUCGCAAGAUUAAAAACUCAAAUGAAUUGAC
RNAcentral lists this ribosomal RNA (569 nucleotides) under uncultured bacterium. RNAcentral describes it as "partial 16S ribosomal RNA". It matches the Rfam family "Bacterial small subunit ribosomal RNA", at positions 355 to 914 of the family's 1533-position model. The record is from RNAcentral.